Non-coding RNA from Gossypium hirsutum (cotton), 145 nucleotides. Lineage: Eukaryota; Viridiplantae; Streptophyta; Magnoliopsida; Malvales; Malvaceae. The record is from Rfam.
UAUUAGAAAUUUCAUUCAUUUGUAUGUUUAAAAAUUAGUGUGACUAACGGAAUUACCAAACAAUGACACGUAGUGUGCCACUUUUAUCUCAUACUGAUAUACGUAGAUCAAUUUUUAACAGUAGGAAUAAAUGAAAUUUUUAACA